Molecule: ribosomal RNA, 485 nt
Filed under: Klebsiella pneumoniae
Lineage: Bacteria; Pseudomonadati; Pseudomonadota; Gammaproteobacteria; Enterobacterales; Enterobacteriaceae
Description: bacterial SSU rRNA
Rfam family: Bacterial small subunit ribosomal RNA
Source: RNAcentral
UUGAAGAGUUUGAUCAUGGCUCAGAUUGAACGCUGGCGGCAGGCCUAACACAUGCAAGUCGAGCGGUAGCACAGAGAGCUUGCUCUCGGGUGACGAGCGGCGGACGGGUGAGUAAUGUCUGGGAAACUGCCUGAUGGAGGGGGAUAACUACUGGAAACGGUAGCUAAUACCGCAUAACGUCGCAAGACCAAAGUGGGGGACCUUCGGGCCUCAUGCCAUCAGAUGUGCCCAGAUGGGAUUAGCUAGUAGGUGGGGUAACGGCUCACCUAGGCGACGAUCCCUAGGUGGUCUGAGAGGAUGACCAGCCACACUGGAACUGAGACACGGUCCAGACUCCUACGGGAGGCAGCAGUGGGGAAUAUUGCACAAUGGGCGCAAGCCUGAUGCAGCCAUGCCGCGUGUGUGAAGAAGGCCUUCGGGUUGUAAAGCACUUUCAGCGGGGAGGAAGGCGUUAAGGUUAAUAACCUUGUCGAUUGACGUUACCC